GACGAACGCUGGCGGCGUGCCUAAUACAUGCAAGUUGAGCGCUGAAGGUUGGUACUUGUCCCAACUGGAUGAGCAGCGAACGGGUGAGUAACGCGUGGGGAAUCUGCCUUUGAUCGGGGGACAACAUUUGGAAACGAAUGCUAAUACCGCAUAAAAACUUUAAACACAAGUUUUAAGUUUGAAAGAUGCAAUUGCAUCACUCAAAGAUGAUCCCGCGUUGUAUUAGCUAGUUGGUGAGGUAAAGGCUCACCAAGGCGAUGAUACAUAGCCGACCUGAGAGGGUGAUCGGCCACAUUGGGACUGAGACACGGCCCAAACUCCUACGGGAGGCAGCAGUAGGGAAUCUUCGGCAAUGGACGAAAGUCUGACCGAGCAACGCCGCGUGAGUGAAGAAGGUUUUCGGAUCGUAAAACUCUGUUGGUAGAGAAGAACGUUGGUGAGAGUGGAAAGCUCAUCAAGUGACGGUAACUACCCAGAAAGGGACGGCUAACUACGUG
This 497-nucleotide ribosomal RNA is filed under the name uncultured bacterium. Its description in RNAcentral is "partial 16S ribosomal RNA". It matches the Rfam family "Bacterial small subunit ribosomal RNA", at positions 28 to 507 of the family's 1533-position model. The record is from RNAcentral.